Long non-coding RNA from Camelus dromedarius (Arabian camel), 598 nucleotides. RefSeq lists it as uncharacterized. The transcript has 4 exons. The record is from RefSeq and is a predicted model, not a curated record. NCBI's taxonomy places the organism in Eukaryota, Metazoa, Chordata, Mammalia, Artiodactyla, Camelidae.
CAACUGAAUAUUCUGAAUUCCUUUGUGACCCUUCUUACCUUCCCAGUUGUCCUGGACCCACAGGCAGUGCAGGACGCAGAGAAGCUGCAUGGACCAUGUUCAAGAGCGAGUAGGAGCCCCCAAGUCCACGUUGUGACCUUCCAAGGCACCAGCAUCCGUGGACCUGCAGUGGUGGCGAGGGGGCUGGAGACCACAGGUGGCUGGCCUCAGCAUCCAGGGGCCCAGAACAGAUUGUACCACUCAGGAAACCCACAGGUUGCAGGAGAAAAUGGCUGGUAGAAAUGCACCAGGAAGAAUAACGUGGUUUUGAAAUGAGGCCCUCCUGGCUGCUGUUUCCUGCCUGUGAAACCAUUCAAAAGUGGGCAUCUCCUCGCCGUUCUUGGUGCCAGCGGUAGACCUGGCAGCUGUACUAAUGGCCAAGGCAGAACUGGGAACUCAGCAGACCUCCUAGAGCUAGAAGGGCUCAGAUGAAAAUCCGGGGAAACCAACUUCUUAAAAUAGAUGCCAGUAGGCUGCCUGCCCCACCAACUCAUUGGACAUUUCCAGACAUGCCUGAUUCCCAGCUGAGAAGACAAAUCAGGCUCCAACUUGAAUCCCC